This 5228-nucleotide long non-coding RNA is filed under the name Nicotiana benthamiana. RNAcentral's name for it is "long non-coding RNA (NBEN_LNC010047)". The record is from RNAcentral. Lineage: Eukaryota; Viridiplantae; Streptophyta; Magnoliopsida; Solanales; Solanaceae.
ACCCUAACCCUAAAGAGUCUUCUUCUUCAACCUAGGACACAAGACAAAAGAAAACCUAACAGUCAUCUUCCAUGAAGUUUAGAUAACAAGGAAAACCCUAGAACUCCAUGGAUGCCCAUCUUCUUCUUCGGCCAUAGGCUGAACCCCGAGACAACGAUACCUUCAGCCACCAACCCUUCUCGUGCAGCCACCCUUACGCCUCCAGCGACCCCCACUCAACCUUCUUCUUCAUGAAGCUCGACCUAAAACCUUAGAUGAACCCUAGAGAAAUCCACUCAACCAACAGCCGCCAUCCUUUCUCCUAGCACACAAGAUCCACCACCAGACCACCCCUCUCAGCAGCUAACUCCAAAAACAGCUCCAUCUACACCCACUCUCCAUUAUACCUUAAACUUCAUCAAAAAGCACACCAGCAAACUCCAGCCGUCCAAUACCCCAACCAUGGCCUGAGCUUCUUUUCACGACAACCAGAAUACACCUUAAAAACAAAAACCAUCGGACCUCCGAAACUGGUUAUCACUAGCCAGAAAACGCACGCACACAUGGUCAAGCAAGAAAGUUUAACAAGUCAGGAAAAUAACAAAAAACAAAUUUCAGUGCUCUUCUUCUUGGCGAUUUUGAUUUUCUAUUUGGUUAUGGAUUCGUUUGAAUUCCAAAGUUUACUUCUUCUAAUUUGCAUAGAAAUUGAUUCAGUUUUGCUCAUGGAGUUUUCUUGAGUGUCGUUGUUGAUUCAUGAUUUGUAAGGGGUUCCAUUCGAAGUUUUCCAGGUAGUUUCUUGGUUCCGUUGAGGUUGUCGAUGUCUAAGUCUUCCAGUAUAAGCAUUUUCACAUUUCAUUUCGAAAAAUAUAUCUGAGGUAUGUUUCUUUACUAAUUCUUGGUUAAUAUAAAUUUUGAUGUCUUGUGCAUUUAUAUGUGAAUGAAUGAAGUUUUUCUUCUCUAAGUGCGAUGUGCUUUUCAUUUAAUCUUCAUGCCUAUUUGAUGCUCACAUCAUAGUAUCUUGAACUAGCAUGCUAAAAAUGGUUAUUUAACGUAGGUUGCUACAUUGGUUAAUAUAGAAAGAGUUUGGGUUUAAGUUAUUCUAAAUAUAAAUUGGUCUUUGUGGUAAUUUUUCCCAUAAUUAGAAGCAAUCAGUGAGUUAGGAUCAGGUUUUUCACGACCCCAAUCCCUGAUCGUGAUGGUGCCCAACACCAUGCUAGGCAAGCCCGGUCAUUAAACACUCACAAUCCCAUUCAUAUAGAAUUCAUUAGUAAUUGACAAAAUUAAUGCUAGUUUAAUACCAAUAGAUGUCUGAACAAUAUAUGAAAUAAGCGAAAAAAUCAUAAUAAUAUCUCUACAAGCCCAACAAAUCUGGUGUCAUAAGUCUGAGCCUCUAAUACAAGAUGUCAACUCCUAAUACAUAGAUAGUCUAGAGUACUCAAAUGUAAAAGAUAGAGGGAGAACAUCGAAUCUGUGGAUGCCAUGCAACUACCUCGAUAACUCCGUGGGAACUGAACAACUAGAAACUCGCACUACACCUCAGGGACACCCGGAUCUGCACACACGGUGCAGGAAGUAAUGUGCGUACUCCGACCCAGUAAGUAAUAAUCAUAAAUAAUGGCUGACAGUAUAAAAUCACGUAAAAGCACUAAGAAGUUCUACAUCAAAGUAGUAAAACACUUUAAAAUAGUAAAAUAAUGGGUAAACCAAGAAAUAUCUCUUUAAAUUAGGUAAACAGGUAAUUUAUCGGAUGUUUAGCAAGUAUCGAUCCGCUCCUCGAGCAUACUGUUCAAUUAUUUAUUACUUAGCCUUAGUAUUCAAUUUAUAUACUCUUUUCAAUAACUAAAAUCAAAAUAUACCGAUGCGGCAUGUAGUCCGAUCCGUAUAUCGCUGUGGCGUAUAGCCCGAUCCAUAUAAUUAGUCGACUGUGCUCACUGGGGGUGUGCAAACUCCAGGAAGGGCUCCUACAACACAAGCACUAUAUUGUUGUGGCGCGUAGCCCAAUCCACACACACACACACACACACAUAUAUAUAUUUCCAAAACCAUGUCAAUCGAGCAUUAGAAGCAUUUACCCGUCAAUUAGCCACCUAGGUGAAAGUCACCACCCUAGUGCCUUUCCUAUCCAUUAGAUUUAACUCUUAGCAAUUUUGCAUUAGCAUGAUUUGGUUAUAAUUAGUAGUUGAUAUUUGUAACUUGUUAAAGAAAAAUCAAAAGAUGUUUGACAGUGAUAGUUAGAAUAAUUACACGACUCUAGACUAGAUAGAUACUCGACUCUCGUUCUAGCUCCCUGAGGAAUUCGAUCUCGACCCUCAUAUUGGGUAAACGCUAUUCCGACCCUCUCUUCCUACUAUAAUCUUGACAAUAAAAAGUGUAAAGAUAACAUGUGUAACAAGAGUUAGCAAGGAAAUAAUCAAUAUUAUCUUUAUCCCCAUGAUGGGCGCCAAACUAUUAACCUCGAAAAAUGUGAGUAACAAUUAAAGAUAAUCUAUGGUUUCAAAAAUAUGUGAUUUAUUCCAAUACUAGUGAAUAUACAAGUAAUAUUAGGUUUAAGUAAGAAGAAUUGAUGAACCAAACUAGUGUUGUUGGAGAAGCGGGGACCUCAAGCUCGAUUAUCUUGGGGGCCUCGAGGUGAUCUAAGAGCCAAUAAAGUAUGAAAAAUAAAGUAAAAUAAUAAAGCUGCAGAACAAUUGUUGAGCACGGGAAAAGCAAAGUAGAAUAUUCUAUUGCAGUCAAUGAGAUGUUUUUACCAAGAUUAGGGUCCCCUUUUUAUAUAAGGGGAAAACCCUAAUAUGGUACAGUUCCAAUUAUGACAAAAAAUUCUAUUGAUACAACUGUAUAACAACACAGUACGGACUUUUACUAUUUCCUACAGAUCUUAUGUUACAUUCCAUAUUUUUGUAUAUGAGAAUACGUCGUAAGCCAAUUGAUGUAAGCUCGAAAAUAAGAUUAUUUUUAAAGUACAUAACGUAAGUUCAUUAUUUUAUCUUGGAGGUUACAAAUUUUUACUAUCAUGAAUAACAAGUACCAAAAGGGCUGGAAAGCUUAGACGCUAAACGAACUGAAGAAAAUAAGUUUUAUCGAAAGUCGACAGUUUGGAAUAUUAUAACAUAUCCUUUUUGGGUGAGGCUAGGGUGAUUAACAUAACAAGGAAGUUAAGCUAUGAGUUAUUAGUCGCAUGAUAGUCAUGCAUUAUGUUUUUAAGUUAAUCAAGUUGUGGAACAGAAGUUGGCAAAGGUCAUCACAAGUUGCAUUUAUAAUGUGCUGAAAUUUAGGUCAUAUGUAGAUGCACUUUUCUCCCAAUAUACUAAGAAUCAAGGGAUUAUCUGCAUAUCAAAUUGAAUAUAUAUUAGUCUAGUUUCUAACGCAUUAAACCGUUUGUCAAUACGAUGUUGGACUAGAGAGAUAUUCGCGUUUUAGCAAGACUGCGCCAAGCAGCUCUCUAUGGGGCCCAUAUAGGCGGUUUACGACAUAUGGAUAUAUAUAAGAUGUCUCAACCCCAAUUUAAGUCAUUAUUUUCUGUGCAUUCAGACCUUAAAACCCUAGAGACACUCUCUCAAGGUUCUCUCAGUAUCCAAGACCCAAACAAAGGGCAAACAACACAAAUCAAGUGUCGGGAAUCAUGUGGCGCAAGUAAAUUUCUUGUUCUUCUUGUUGUUGCUGAUUUUUGGACGGUUCCAGCUCAUGUGGGUGGUUGUUUUAAUUGGUUUAUGUUAUGUAAAAUACUCUCUCAUGGUUUUCAUAUCAACCCUACGUUAUUUCAAGUCUUGCAAUGGAUUACAACAUAUUUCAACAUCAAAAGUGAAGAAUAACACCUCUUUGAGGUUGUGUUGUCAUUAAGGAUAGUUGUGGGCUAUUUUAUGCUGAAAUUUUAAGUUGUUGCUACUGGAUCAAGUGAGUAUAAUAGCCUACUAAUUUUGCUUAAGCUUGCUUGUAUGUUGGUUAAGUUGUAAGGAUGAUAAAUUAAAAGAUAAUACUUGGAUAAGUUUAAGUCACUUCUAUGGUGUUGUGUUGCCAUUGAGGAUUGGUGUAAGCUAAAUAUAACUUAAAUUUUAACUUGAAGCUACUGUAGGAGGUAUGUGUAUUUUGUUCUUGCAGGUGUUUAAGGAUUUUAAAGUGAUGAAUGCUCGUUGAAAAAAAAUUUAAAAGAAGAGGAAAAAUAAAGUUAAUAAUGGGUGCUUACUUAAUAUUUAUUUAAAUAUUUGUAAUUGUUUAUAUAAAUUUACCAAAUAUGGUCAAAUUAAUAGGUGCUUAAGCACCCACCGGUGCUCAUGUGGAUUCGGCAUUGGCAACACAUAGCAGUAAUGGUUCAAUACCUAAAAGCAUGAAAGACAACCAAAAUAACCAAAAGACUACCAUCAGGUCGCCCAUUCUAAUCUGAAACAAGAGUGAUCGAAUGGGAUACGUCAAGCAUAUAACCCGAAUGGACUAGAUAUCUAUGGUGCCAUACUCCGAUGUAUCCUAAAUCUUUUCGAGAUUGGGGCCCUGUCUGUUACGCUAUCACAGUUAUACCUUUGAAGGAUUGCAUUAUGUUUUUGUAUAGCCGCCUUGAAGGCCGACAUUCAACUAGAAUUACUUCAUUGCGUUCUUCAAUUCUGUUUUGAUUAUUGUUAACAUUUAUAGUAUUUUAUGCAAAACACUUUGGAUUAAUUUGUUUGCUAGUAACCGUAAAAUAUAAAUUCAAUUGCUUAUUAUACAAUCAGAUUUUGGGUCAAACAUAUAUACGGUGAAAUCAGAGGGUCCAAUUCCUCACCAUCAAAACACCUCAGAGGAUCAUCUCAGAGGCUCGAGUCUUGAAGGCUACGGUCGUGUUUCCACUCUCGAGGUUCGCCGAUGCUCGACCUGAGGACAAUGUUGACCACGGCUGUGAUAGAAAUGGGGAGUUCCCAAGACACAGAGCUAGGGCUGACAAAGUCUAGUAUACUACUCUAAACCCGAAUCAGGGCGCCAUCUAGUUGUCCCAUCUCUAUAUCUUUAUAAUUAAUGCAUUUUUGUACUAUGUUGGGAUUCCCCUCAUAAAGGGGAUCCUUAUCAUUUUAGAGAUCUUUGUUGCUUUAGUUGCUCCAUACAAAAUAUAUAAGAAUAUUCUCUCUGCUCUCUAACAUGUUCUCUUGAUAUUAUUGCUUCUUUUUAUUAUCUUCAUUAUUGUUCAUCAUUUAUUGCUUAUCAUUGGCCAUAAAGAGCCUUCAUUGAUUUUUUUAUAACUGUUAGUCAUACUCUAAUCACCUUUGAUAGCUCACUAUCGAGAUCCG